This is a non-coding RNA of Macaca mulatta (Rhesus monkey), 1041 nucleotides long. The record is from RefSeq and is a predicted model, not a curated record. Lineage: Eukaryota; Metazoa; Chordata; Mammalia; Primates; Cercopithecidae.
AGAACUUCUCUGAUGUAUUUCUUCAUAUUUAAUGUAAAGAGACAAGGCUUUCUCAUUGUUAAAAUGUUUUACUACAGAACCUUGUUGUCCAGUCUGAAGUGGAAGUACUUAUCCCUGAUUUUUGCAUGUAUGUCAAAGUUGUUGAUAUAUUUUGAGAUCAUCGAAUGAAGUCAUAUUACUUGGAAAAUAUAAGAAGAUGUGUUGGCUUUCAUACGACAUCCACGACUAAUGACCUUAGCUGUAAAUGUUCAUUAGUAGGUUCCCCAUCCUUCAAGCCCAAAACUGAGUUCACCAGCAAUGAAAGCUUAAGGAUGACAAGAUGGUCUACUGUGCUGUUUUAAGGUCAUUCUUCAGUGAUACCUCCCAUGGAAAAUCUCCCCUGAGUCCCCCAGGCUGAGCAGGAAUCUCUCUAUUCUGGCACUUACCACUGCCAGGGGCUACCAUGAUUGCUCCCGCAACAGCAUUAGUCAUGAAAACUCUCAUGGAAAGUUACUCCAUAGGACUGAAGAGCAAAAGGUUUCAACUGCAGAGAUGUCCAAGUUGAUGAUGAUACCUGAAGGAUUUCUACUGGAUGUGCCCAUGGGGACAAAGCCAGAAGUUUGACUCAGAAGUUUCAGCGAUGCGAAGAAAGGAAAUCAGGCUUAUAUACCAGGACCACACACAGGACCAUCCCACUGAAUUUGACCGAACAGAUAUUUAUUGGACACCUAUUGUAUUGAUGCCAGUUUCUGGACUACUCACUCAGAAUUCAGCAGUGAACUAGAUGGUCUCUACCCUUAAAUGCUCUACAACCUAUUGGUACCUAACAUGGAUGGGUGGAAAUAAGCUAUGGAAUGGCCAAGAGGCAAGCAUCUGAGAACAUGGAGCAAAAUGAUUCUGUAUGUGCCAGAAUUUCAACUUCCUCAUUCUGGGAAUCUACAACGAGCUAAGCCCUUUAUCUUGAUGUGCUUUUCACCUUCCAACGUGAUCGUGAGACCUCCCCCGCCAUAUGCAACUGUGACUCCAAUAAACUUCUUUGUUUUGUAAAUGGCCCAGUCUAAG